Molecule: ribosomal RNA, 253 nt
Filed under: uncultured bacterium
Lineage: Bacteria
Description: partial 16S ribosomal RNA
Rfam family: Bacterial small subunit ribosomal RNA
Source: RNAcentral
UACGGAGGGAGCUAGCGUUGUUCGGAAUUACUGGGCGUAAAGCGCACGUAGGCGGCUUUGUAAGUUAGAGGUGAAAGCCCGGGGCUCAACUCCGGAACUGCCUUUAAGACUGCAUCGCUUGAAUCCGGGAGAGGUGAGUGGAAUUCCGAGUGUAGAGGUGAAAUUCGUAGAUAUUCGGAAGAACACCAGUGGCGAAGGCGGCUCACUGGUCCGGUACUGACGCUGAGGUGCGAAAGCGUGGGGAGCAAACAGG